GCUCUUUGACUGUUCCUCGUAUCUGCAAAGUUACAUCCAUUAAUACUUAGACUUGGUAGCGUGGUUCUGUAAGAUUGUUAUGUCGUAAUAAAAUAUAUUUUUUUUAGUGUCGAUGGUUUUCUUUGUAAUAGAGUGUGGCAACUGUGAUACAGAUUACUAUUGAAGUGGCUGUGUGUAUUUAUUGUGUUGGCUUCUAUUUUACGAACGCUUAAAAUGUCGGUUGAGAAUUUGGUAAAUAUGAAUUGUGUUUGCGCAAUCGCAUGCUGCAUAAAGUUCUCCAUGUCUUGUGGAGUAGAAGAUUCCUGAGUCUUGCAGUGUGCAUUAUGUUAAAACAAUAUGAAACGUGUUAUUACGAAGGGUUAUUUGUGCUGUUAAACAUUGAGUCACGGAUUAGAAAAUAAAGAUGCACUGGUGUCGACAUGUUGGAAUUUAGUUACAUUCAUGUGUACUUUUUAUGGAAGCAAAGAUUAAGGGGAACGGUGGUCAUCGGAGUGUGACCAAAGGUAUGAAAACAGCUGAUAGCUACUGGUGUCCUGCGCGUGGUGGUGCGACUGCUGUAGCAGCUCCAGGUACAGUGGUGGUACAUCUGCUGGUCGCAGUAAGAACAAGGAACAAACACCAGUCCCACCGAAAGCAGUUCUUGCUGAGAGCCGGGAAGAUACAGCUGCAUUUAACAUCAUCAAAGGAUGUAACAUACAAUGGACAAAGGUUCUUUUGGAUGGCAGUACUAAGCAAAACGUGCACACAGGGCGUGGCAUAUUAGCCUUUCAUCCUACCAGAACCAUUCUAUCUGAUGCCAAGUUACAUGUUUCAGGCAACUCUUAGAUGGAUGUCCUUGGGGCCCUGAUGAUGGAGGCAGAAUGGAUUUGGUAAACUUGUACCAGACUACACGACACUACAACCCAGAAGAAAAUCAUUUGAAAAACUAUAUUUACUGUGCAGUCUUGGCUCAUCAGCAACAACUACAAAAUUUCAAUUCAUUAAUUUCUCAAUUUGGUCAUUUAUUUGGGAUGAAUUAAAUAAAAAUAUAAUUCUCUAGUUUCAUCUGCAAAAAAGAUACUUUCUGGGUGGAAUAAAUGGCAUAAGUGAGAUCUGAUGUUCUCAAAGUAGCGAACAUUAAGAUGGUUGUCUUGUGGGUGUUGCACUGGUGGAAGUUCACAAGACAAUUCAGAUGUGCUUGCCACCUCCACAAUCAGAGUGAGGGUCCAUUUGCAUAUAACCGACUACUGACCUUCAGAAAAGUAACAGCAGCACACCUGAUAGAGAAUCUCACUUUCUCACUUCAUCAAAAAGAACUCUGUUUCCAAAUCCAAUAUAACUCACCUCCUGGUGCCAUACAAUCGAUGACAUCACCCGUUUCCAUGAUCAGGGACACAGGACCAGCAACUAGGCCCUUGGAAGUGGCGAUGACUCCUAGCUCCCAGGCCGGGGCGUUCAGAAGGCUGCAUAUGUCGCGAACCGCAGCGUCCAGAAGACCCUGGCUGCGUACUAGAGCCACAUUCUGGUAGUACAGCUGUCUGCAGCACAGUGCGUCAUGCAGGUUAUGUUAUACUGCUGUGUUGCGUUUCAUAACAAAGCAAAAGCAAUAAUUUUGUUGUGUCUGUCGGUUUGUCUAUUAUUCUGUCAUUAAUAACAGUGGCCCCUUGUCAAUUUUUUCUCCAACACUAUUUUCCCUGAAAAUUCGGAAUAUGUGCAGAAAUGGGACACAGUCCUUUAUCUUCUUAGAAUUGUUUAUAAUAGAGACAAAGCGAUAAGUCUUAAGUAACUGAAUAAUAUUUAAUUCUAACAAUCAGGCCUACUACAAUUCAGGAAAUUUUGUUAACUGAAAGGAGAAACAUUAAAACUAUAACACAGGAAACCCACAAUACUUUGAAAAUACAAAAAUAAUCUGCUAAAUAAUUAAUUGCAUGAAAGAACAGUCUUCGUCAAUUAUUUUCUCCAGUACACCAAAGAGUAGUUCGGCUGAGAAGCAACGGAAAACAAUAACAAAAUCAACAUAGGUGAUAGGCAUACGUUACUUAAAUUUUCAGUAGUUCGCAAAUCACCUUUUCCCAGAAUGCUUUGCAUUAUGUGAUCACAUCGUAAAUAUUCAUUAGUAGUCUACAAUUACACAUGUAAAGAACAAUUUUACAAACAGCUAAUAAGUUGGGCCAUUACAAUUAAUAGACAAAAUGUUUUAGUAAAAUAAAAGACAAAUACAAAUAAAUAGUCAGGACUUCUGAAGCCGAGGCUCGCUUGAGUAAUAAUUAAAAUGUCAGUUCGUACUGCAAAGAAAAGCCUAUAUGUCACCAUUACAAACAGCAACUUGUUACCGCUGUUUAAGCAAAUAAUGUGCAAUAAGAAUUAAUAAUAAUCUUUUUUUGGCAAAUCAGGACUGGCACAUUAUCUUCAAUCGCUUGAACACUACAGGUCCUUUAUACUCUGUUGUAACAGCACAAUCUCUAAAUACCAACCUCCGAGUGCACGUGGACUGGGUGAAAAGCAGGCGGUGGACUACACCCAGCAGAUGGAUAAUGAGUGCGAACUUGGGGCGACUGCGUCUUGAGCUGAAUUUAAUCUCGACAGUUGAUGCUUGUCCUUCUGGCUUCAGCUUCAACCUGGAGUAGAAACAGAGACGAAGUCUGGUCAACUUUAACUAAACCAGAGUGAAGACGGGAGACUUUCCCUCAGCUACACUUCGCACUAUAUCCAGCAUCACGUCUUCUAUGGCUACCAUCAACUGGCUCCUAUAAACGUUCAUGUCUCAGCUUUAGUAUUCUGAGAAGAGCUUUACAGCAGAUUCAUAUGAUCGCUCUUACGUUUGUAAAUGUAUGUGAUGUCAAGAUGGUCAUGUAGCUACUGUUUCAACUCGUAUGAUCAGAAAGCUAAACUGAAGUUAAAUAGCUAAUAAACACUAGAAUUACUGAAAAUUUAUAUUAGUAUAAGGCACAAUAAAUACUAUUAACUACAA
Non-coding RNA from Zootermopsis nevadensis, 2950 nucleotides. NCBI's taxonomy places the organism in Eukaryota, Metazoa, Arthropoda, Insecta, Blattodea, Termopsidae. The record is from RefSeq and is a predicted model, not a curated record.